Long non-coding RNA from Ictidomys tridecemlineatus (thirteen-lined ground squirrel), 238 nucleotides. RefSeq lists it as uncharacterized. The record is from RefSeq and is a predicted model, not a curated record. NCBI's taxonomy places the organism in Eukaryota, Metazoa, Chordata, Mammalia, Rodentia, Sciuridae.
GUUUUCAAGGAGAGAAAAACUCCAGGCAGAAGUGUUCUUUCCUGGCUUUGGGGAAGGAAAAGGAUAAGGCAGAAGUAUACAUGAAGCCACUGAAGAGAAGGAACAGUGAGAAGACAAAAAGGAGCUGGACGCCCAGAAUUCCUCCAUACUGUGACUCCACCCUCUUAUUGGACCUUGUAAUCCUUUGCAUUCUGCUGGAAGAUGAAUAAAGACAAUGAAGAGGAGCAGGAAGAAACAC